This 1798-nucleotide unclassified non-coding RNA is filed under the name Leishmania donovani. RNAcentral's name for it is "gene:LdHU3.27.1870(CDS-product:predicted_leucine-rich_repeat_protein)". The record is from RNAcentral. Lineage: Eukaryota; Euglenozoa; Kinetoplastea; Trypanosomatida; Trypanosomatidae.
ACCCGCUGAGUACGGUCGAACGGGUCACAUACGCGUGCCUGCUUUCACUCCUUCAUAGGAAAAGAAACGUCUCGGCUGCUCUGCCUUCAGCCGUCCUUGCCUUUUGCUUCUUUCUCCCCCACCUAUCGGUUUAAGUGGUCCCCCUUCCCCCAUCUCCAGCCCUCGCCUCCCUAGAUAAAAGAAAGCCGAGGGCGCAAGCCAUCACAGCCUUGUCCCGCCACCGUGUGCUCGCGCGAGCGCCCUACCGCUCUGUUCGUGGUGAAACGCACAACCACCAUGGUGGACUCCGCCACCGGGGAGGCUGACCCUGCCUUAUCCUCCUCUCAGCUUAUCCUUUUGGCGUACGAAGAGGAAGCGCCGCGGUGCAAACCGCCAGAGGAGUUACUUGCAGAGCGACUGCAAGCACUUAAGAGGUAUAAGUACCCCAUUCCUGAAGAUCCCGACAGCGACGCCUCUGGCGCUAAGGCUUAUCUGGCGGUGUGCGCGGAGCUCGCCAAGGCGACCGGCGUGAAGGGUGCAACAAGUUCCAUCGCGAAAGAUCUGGCCGCUGAGAACGAGGUGCUAGACUUGUCGUACGCGGGGCUUGGUGUGAAGGGGUGCACAGCGCUGGCCGCCGCCCUUCGCGUCACCUCGGCAGUGCAAUCACUGAUUCUUGUCGGCAAUUACAUUACUCCGUCCGCGGCGCUGGAGUUGGUGCGCGCCAUAAAUGAUGCACGCAACAUCCAGUCUCUGAACCUGUCGAAGAAUCAGAUGGGCCGCGUGGAGGCGAUGCGGAAGGGUGCACAUCACCUGAACACCUUCUCCGGCGGCGCGGUGGUGAACGAGGUCCUUGCCCCUGGCAGCACACUGCGCUUUUUGGCCCUCUCAGAUAACGAUCUCGGUGACACCGACAUCGCUGCCUUUGCGGAUACCCUAGCCGAGAACAUCACUCUGCAGGAGUUGGACUUGAGCUACAACCGCAUCGGCUUUGUCGGGGCGACGGAGCUGGCCAAGGUGCUGUCCCGAAACAGCGACCUGCGCGUGCUAAACAUCGAAUGGAACCCCCUGCGAGCCGCAGGUGCGCAGCUCCUCUUGUCUGAAGGGCUGCUGCAGAACAACACCAUCAAGCAAUGCAACCUGAGCUCUUGUGGGCUGGAUGAUAAGUGCGGCCAACUGGUUGCUCGCGUGAUAUCGGAAAAUGCCAUCGAGGAAGUGAUUAUAGCCAACAACCGUAUCGGCCGCGUGGGUGCUGAGGCCAUCGCCCGAACCCUGCCGUCCACGUCUGCGUUGACCACACUGAUCAUGGAUGGCAACCCCAUCGGUGACACUGGAAGUGCAGUUCUGCUGGAUGUGGCUUUGAGCGGCAGCGUUUCCACGCUUCGGGUGAUAAGUUUGCAACACUGUUGCUGCAACGACCCCGCCAUCCUCCGACGCGGGAAGGAGGCCUCCACUGCAACGCUCAAGAUUCGCAUUUCGGAGAGCGUGUAGCUGCCUUGCGCUUUUCCUGUUUGACUUGCUUCUCCCGCUUCGACGAUAUGCAGAGGCAGGCUUGCGCCAACUGUGAGUGUACACGUCUGUGUGCCUGUGUGCGUGCCUUUUCUCACCCCUCGUGGGGUGCUUUCGUUUGCAAUGUACAUUACCGUGCCUCAUAAAAGUGACAGCUCAGCCUGCCUGCCUUCCACGGACAAGGUGCGCGCAUGCACGGCAUUAAGGAGGGGACGCGGGGGGAGGGUAUCCUUCUCACCACCCCUUCCCCGCUUUCCCUCGUUUCAAAGUUCCUUCUCUCACGGACACUCAAAGAGAGGUGUGGGUGGCGUUG